CAGUACUGGAGACCGUAUCUUCAGAAGGAUAUUGAUACUUUAGAAAGAGUUCAGAGAAGGGCUACUAAACUAGUUCAUGGAUUGCAGGAUAAAACUUACCAGGAAAGGUUAAAGGAUCUUAACAUGUAUAGCUUGGAGGAAAGACAAGACUGGGGGGAUAUGAUAGAAACAUUUAAAUUCAAAAAGGGAAUCAACACAGUAAAGGAGGAGACUAUAUUUAAAAGAAGAAAAAUUACUAGAACAAGAGGACAUAGUCUUAAAUUAG
This is a non-coding RNA of Pelobates cultripes (western spadefoot toad), 265 nucleotides long. The record is from the annotation of a GenBank genome assembly. Lineage: Eukaryota; Metazoa; Chordata; Amphibia; Anura; Pelobatidae.